Molecule: long non-coding RNA, 365 nt
Organism: Epinephelus fuscoguttatus (brown-marbled grouper)
Lineage: Eukaryota; Metazoa; Chordata; Actinopteri; Perciformes; Serranidae
Exons: 4
Source: RefSeq, a predicted model, not a curated record
AGAAGACAAAGAAGAAGAGGAGGAACACCUGCAUUACAGGACCAAAAUCCGACCACAACAAGUGCAUCCUCUCCUAAGGUAGGCUGAACCAAAAGAGAAGGAUAACUAAGCCAAAACAACUUCAAACUGACGAUGAGCCAGUUUUCGAAGGGGUGGACAGAAGGACUCUCACUUCCUUUAAUAUGAUGUUUCUUACCUUAGAAGAAGCAGGAGGAGUUUGUUCGUCAGCAGCAGGGUACAUCUUGGCUCACAGUGAUGGGAGUUGAGCUCUCUGUUGUCCCCUCGCCUUCUCCAGCCUUCAUCUUCUUCUUUUUCUUCUUCUUGCUUUCCUUUGAAAGUGGAGACGAGUCAACUUCAGGAGGCUC